GACGAACGCUGGCGGCGUGCUUAACACAUGCAAGUCGAGCGGUAAGGCCCUUUCGGGGGUACACGAGCGGCGAACGGGUGAGUAACACGUGGGUGACCUGCCCUCAGCUCUGGGAUAAGCCUGGGAAACCGGGUCUAAUACUGGAUAUGACUCCAUGGCGCAUGUUGUGGGGUGGAAAGCCUUGUGCGGCUGAGGAUGGGCCCGCGGCCUAUCAGCUUGUUGGUGGGGGUGAGGCCUACCAAGGCGACGACGGGUAGCCGGCCUGAGAGGGCGACCGGCCACACUGGGACUGAGACACGGCCCAGACUCCUACGGGAGGCAGCAGUGGGGAAUCUUGCGCAAUGGGCGAAAGCCUGACGCAGCGACGCCGCGUGAGGGAUGACGGCCU
RNAcentral lists this ribosomal RNA (388 nucleotides) under uncultured bacterium. RNAcentral's name for it is "bacterial SSU rRNA". It matches the Rfam family "Bacterial small subunit ribosomal RNA", at positions 28 to 417 of the family's 1533-position model. The record is from RNAcentral.